GCCCUUUUAACUCAGUGGUAGAGUAAUGCCAUGGUAAGGUGUAAGUCAUCGUUUCAAGUCUGAUGAAGGGCU
Molecule: non-coding RNA, 72 nt
Organism: Amborella trichopoda
Lineage: Eukaryota; Viridiplantae; Streptophyta; Magnoliopsida; Amborellales; Amborellaceae
Source: Rfam